GGGCACCACCGGGAGUGGAGCCUGCGGCUUAAUUUGACUCAACACGGGAAAACUCACCCGGCCCGGACACCGUAAGGAUUGACAGAUUGAGAGCUCUUUCUUGAAUUGGUUGGGUGGUGGUGCAUGGCUGUACGAGAGACGAGAUGAGUGGACCGCUGGCUUGCUUUAACGCUUGGGUAGUUGAUAGGUUGGAAAUGACCGCAGGCGCACGAACGGUGGAGCUGGGAAUUGAACAAAACUUUGGGGAUGCCUGGCCUGGAUUGUUCUGGGCUAAGGCUGUGACCUCUGUAGUGUUCUUUAUUCGGCACUGCCUAGUACUGCCCUGCACUGCCCCGUCGGCUCUGACCUGCGACAUCCUUUUUACUGUGAGCAGCGGCGCUCGGCCGCACGAGAUUGAGCAAAAACAGGUCUGUGAUACCCUAGAUGUCCGGAGCCGCACGCGCGCUACAUUGAAGGAAUCAGCGAGAAUCCUCAGUCUGACAGGAAUGGGUAACCUCCUGAACCUCUUUCGUGACAGGG
This 519-nucleotide ribosomal RNA is filed under the name uncultured eukaryote. Its description in RNAcentral is "bacterial SSU rRNA". It matches the Rfam family "Eukaryotic small subunit ribosomal RNA", at positions 1162 to 1575 of the family's 1831-position model. The record is from RNAcentral.